CUACUACUCCCUCCGUCAGAAAGUACUUGUCAUCAAAAUGGAUAAAAGGGGAUGUAUCUAAAGUAGAUACAUCCCCUUUUAUCCAUUUUGAUGACAAUAUUUUCGGACGGAGGGAGUACAAA
Molecule: non-coding RNA, 122 nt
Organism: Triticum aestivum (bread wheat)
Lineage: Eukaryota; Viridiplantae; Streptophyta; Magnoliopsida; Poales; Poaceae
Source: Rfam